Long non-coding RNA from Lutra lutra (Eurasian river otter), 1740 nucleotides. RefSeq lists it as uncharacterized. The record is from RefSeq and is a predicted model, not a curated record. The transcript is spliced from 3 exons. NCBI's taxonomy places the organism in Eukaryota, Metazoa, Chordata, Mammalia, Carnivora, Mustelidae.
UGUGUGGGAAUUUAUACAGAUCAGGAACGCUGGCUGGCUCUUGUUGAAUCCAAUUUUCUCUUCUUCAUGAUCAGCUUAGAACCAGAAUAUUAUUGCUGAAAUGGGCUAUUAUUGCUGAAAUUAGACUGUUAGUCUAACUUAAGAAAGAAAAAAACAAACAAAACUCAAUGACUUGCUCGGGUCUCACAGCCGGUGGAUGCCCAGAGCAGGUGCAGGCUACAGGUCUUCUGACUUGCCGCCCGUUGUACUAUUUGUGAAGCGAUUCUAAAGAAUUCACCAGCAGUGGGAAUGGUGUUCAGGGUGCCGGUGGUCCCCGGUUGUAACAGGCACGUGGGGCAUUUGCCUCCUUUGAAGCCUAUAUCCUGGCUUCCCUUCUCCCUUGGGGUGGUUAUGUUCUUCUGUGUGUUCGUAUAGAAAUCAGCUCCAAGAACAGGAGAGGGCUAAAGGUCAGGGGGUUUAUGACUCUGUCCUUUGGUCACUCAGCAGGACACGAUCACAGACUUUUGCAGUUCGUGUAUACUCAGUUAUCAUCCGCAACCACAGUAAGGAAGGCAAACCUUCACGAGGAGCGUGCGAGUGCCAGGCACCGGAUGGGUCACUGAUGAGGCAACAAAAAUAUUGUUAAUUGUCCAAGGUCUUACAGAGAGAGAAUGGAAGUUUUCUUAGUGCCAAAUGCAGACGGUUUGAAUGGCUUAAGGUACAAAAAGAGACAUUCCUGUUUGAACACAUCAUGUUCUUGCUAUGACAACAAUAUUCAAUCGUAGCGUUAGAUCUGGAAGAUGUCCUUUAAUGUGGUGCCUUUGGAGCGCGUUGUCGGGUUCUGCCUUACCACUGCGGAUGACAAAUGUGUUGAUCUAAACAUUUUGUACUGAUGGUGGAAACUCCAUCGAUCAAGCACCGCAGUCUAUCUCGUCUCCUCUCCGAGCUGCGGGGGCGUUUGCAGGGCCUGCUGGCCAGAGCGCAGUGGGAGGGACGCUGCCUGCCUUCCGAGGGCUGAUGCGAAAGGACAGCUUCCGCCGGUCUAUCUUGGGAACCUCGGGCAUCUGCAGCCGCCGCGGGAACGGGCUGGCUGCCCUGAGGCUGCCCGCGGCGACCCUGAGCACAGAGCGCCAGGAGGGAGAUGCUCAAGGGGCCCCGCGGUUGGCUGCUUCCCUGCCGGUCCAGCUUCUGCGAAGGAAACGCUUUCGGGACGGACGCGCCACGGCCUGAGCGCAACUAACUGCGCAGGAAACCCCGAGCUCAGUGCGCACGGACAGGCGCGAGCCGGGUUUUGGCGGUUGCUACUGCUCUCCGCUGCUCCGGCAGGGCGACGGCCUCCCUCCCGAGCAGUCAGCGGCUGGGGCGCGAGUGGUACCCGCCGCGCCUGGCGUUCGGGGGCACUUAGCGCUGCGCUCUGUUCCGUGCGUCUCUGCUGUGGGCAUGAGCGCCUCCCGCGGGGCCCGUCUCACCUGUAAGUUAGUCGUAUCAGGACCCAGAUUCUCUGCCUCAUGUAAAUCUGAGGAAGACGGAACGAGAUAAGAUGGGAAAGUUUCUGAAAAAGUAACACUGAAACCGCUCAAGCGUAAAGUUGGACAAAAAUCAAAACGGCUGCACCAGUGCUCCAGCGAAGCUCGAUAUUAAAAAAAAAUGAUCGCGGCGGCUGGGUGAUCAGUCAGCAAAGCAUCUGCCUUCCGCUCAGGUCAUGAUCCAGGGUCCUGGGGUCAAGUCCCGCAUGAGGCCCGCUGCUCUGCGGGGAGCCUG